This 253-nucleotide ribosomal RNA is filed under the name uncultured bacterium. RNAcentral describes it as "partial 16S ribosomal RNA". It matches the Rfam family "Bacterial small subunit ribosomal RNA", at positions 524 to 776 of the family's 1533-position model. The record is from RNAcentral.
UACAGAGGGUGCGAGCGUUAAUCGGAAUUACUGGGCGUAAAGCGCGCGUAGGCGGCUUUGCAAGUCGGGUGUGAAAUCCCCAGGCUUAACCUGGGAACUGCAUUCGAGACUGCAUUGCUAGAGUUUGGGAGAGGGACGCGGAAUUCCAGGUGUAGCGGUGAAAUGCGUAGAUGUCUGGAGGAACACCGGUGGCGAAGGCGGCGUCCUGGACCAACACUGACACUGAUGAGCGAAAGCCAGGGGAGCAAACGGG